AGUGAACGCUGGCGGUAGGCCUAACACAUGCAAGUCGAACGGCAGCACAGUAAGAGCUUGCUCUUACGGGUGGCGAGUGGCGGACGGGUGAGGAAUACAUCGGAAUCUACUUUUUCGUGGGGGAUAACGUAGGGAAACUUACGCUAAUACCGCAUACGACCUACGGGUGAAAGCAGGGGAUCUUCGGACCUUGCGCGAUUGAAUGAGCCGAUGUCGGAUUAGCUAGUUGGCGGGGUAAAGGCCCACCAAGGCGACGAUCCGUAGCUGGUCUGAGAGGAUGAUCGGCCACACUGGAACUGGAACACGGUCCAGACUACUACGGGAGGCAGCAGUGGGGAAUAUUGGACAAUGGGCGCAAGCCUGAUCCAGCCAUACCGCGUGGGUGAAGAAGGCCUUCGGGUUGUAAAGCCCUUUUGUUGGGAAAGAAAAGCAGCAGGUUAAUACCCUGCUGUUCUGACGGUACCCAAAGAAUAAGCACCGGCUAACUUCGUG
This 492-nucleotide ribosomal RNA is filed under the name uncultured bacterium. RNAcentral's name for it is "partial 16S ribosomal RNA". It matches the Rfam family "Bacterial small subunit ribosomal RNA", at positions 29 to 507 of the family's 1533-position model. The record is from RNAcentral.